Molecule: non-coding RNA, 2348 nt
Organism: Paramormyrops kingsleyae
Lineage: Eukaryota; Metazoa; Chordata; Actinopteri; Osteoglossiformes; Mormyridae
Source: RefSeq, a predicted model, not a curated record
GUUCAUCCUGCUGUUUGUGGCGAAGGUGCUCACAGGAAAGAUGCAGGAGCUCAGCGAUGUGAGGGAGUACGAGGAGGAGGGCGAGCCGAGGAAGGCGCCGUUUGUCAGCGAGCCGGACGCAAAUGGGAAGUAUAUGCAGAACGGUGCGGCGAAGGACAAGAAUCUCUGAGAGCAUCGCUAUCGCCUCCUGUUGCACUUAGCUGUAACUGCAAGAUGGCAGCUUGGUGGAAAUCAUUCGUAACAGGCACUAUUAGUAGCUGGAUUUGCAAAAAAAAAAUGUUAGGCUAUGAAACAUUUGCAUAAUUAUUUUACUUAAUUGUAUUUACUAGCACUGUGAAUGUGGUUUUAAGUAAAUUAUGCCCAUAGGGACUGAUAAGGGAUCAUAGUGACCAAAGGUGGAUAGUUCAAGUCCAGAAAGUAAUAAUCCGUACCAAGAUUUUGUUUCAAGCAACCAGUAUAAAGAGUCACAGUAACAGAGUACUCAGCUGGUUGGUUAGAACAAAAUCUUGGUCUGGAUUUUUGCUUUCUGGACCUGGACUGUACAGCUGUGAUAGUGACUGUCAUGGGGAUGACCUUAACUUGAUCCUGAAUCAGUAGUUAAGGGGAGUAUUAAGGGCUGUGUGGUAUUUCAGAUGGCUUUUUAUCUCAAGGAAGUUAUGUGGUCAUAGAGCGAUUCUGAGCCUUGGACUGACAGCCAGCAACAGUUAGACGGCCAUAAUGUCCAUCAGAGAGAAGCACAGACAGGCUGCACUGUCGGGGAGACAAUGGACAGAGCAGCGGCCAAGAGAAACAUAAGACCAUACCUUCUGUUAAAGGGAACUGUAAAGUCAGCGUACCAUUCACCAUGGCACGACAGGUAACUGGCAGACGAACAUGCCCUCUAAGUGAAUCAAGUAACAGCUGUGCCCUCCGUGAGAGAGACUUGCCAGCUGGCCCCGCCCUUUCCCAUGGCACCCAGAGAUCGUCUGGGUGUUUCUCAAUACCAAGAAUGCAAACGUCGUAUUUGGUCUUGGUCUUGGCAAGAGUGAUCUUACUAGCUUGCCUUCCAAGAAUGAACUUGGUGUGCAAUGAAUCAUGGGAUUGGUCUUGUCCUGAGAUUUUUACCAUCCUCUGUACUUCUGUUCUUAGUACUGGAACUGGUCUUCGACAGUGGAAGGUGACGUAAAACGCUUACGCGAGAACACAAGUACGGUUAGAUACACAUUUUGUGAAACAGCCUCUGUCUGCCGCUCUUAUUUGCCGGAGGGUGCACAUAGACAGGAAAUGAUGUCACAUCGACACACCUGUUUGGACAGGACUGGAUGCAUGUCAGACUGAAGUAGUUUGUUUUGAAGUUAUUCAUUGGAUUCAUUGUAUUUAAUUUUUAUUUGAUUAUCAGGUGUAUACGGAUUUAAAUGUCAUUUAACAGGUUUGUUAAUGGGAAGCAGAUGUUGGUAAUAAGGACUGAUCCAUGAUCAGUACAGCUGGGGAUUUUACAGGAAAAUCUGGCCUGGAUUUGCUUGUUUUAAUAGUAUUACUGAAGAUUGUGGAGAGUCAGGGAUAACCAUAAGCACUUAGAUAAAUUUAUAGGUACUGAGGUUUUAUAAACGUGUUUUACUGUUUUGGUUUUGUGCAAGAAUCUUCUAACUCAGUCCAGUGACUUAUUGUAGGAGUGAAGACUAUAUUCCAACCAGGGGCACACAGGUUUAAAUGAGGUGGGGGUCUGAUGUGUGUCAUGAUGAAAUCAGAAAUCAGCGUUAGAAGUAAAGAGGGGCAGGUCUCCUGCCCAGCUUCCACUUCUUCUUGGAUGUCCCCUCCAGACCAUCUAACCCAGAGCGUGGCAUCACGUCCGCAUCGUGGUUGGUUUGCGUUUCACGUUUGUUCACAUGCGGUUUGCCCAGGUAUGGUUUAGGUGUCUGUUGGACAUUGACUUGUGUUCUCUGCUUUCGUUGGUCUUGGAGUUUCCGGCUGGACGUGGCCGCAUGCCUUGCGCAUGGCACGUUUCCCGUGUCUAAGGUCUGCAAACUCCUCGGCCCAGUUCGACGUAAUUCCCAGUGUCCUGCACACAUGACGCUUUUUUUGGGGGCUGAUCCAUAUGGGGUGACUGUGCCAAGCUCAGAAAGCCCACAUUUCAGGGUCGUCUACCGAAGGGUAAAUCGUAUUUUCUAACAGUGUUAUAUUUCAGUAUCAGGCUUGUGCCAAAACCCAUUUUCCCCCAUAAUGCACUGGGAGAGCAGAUCUGAAUAGAAUAGUAGGGUGUUUUCCUACAGGGAGCUGGAUCAUCUACCCUCAACCUUUCUACCCUCCUUGUUUGGUGAAAAUUACCAGGUACUAAAAUAUUUUUUGUAAUAAAACGAUUUUAACAUGCA